Dipodomys ordii (Ord's kangaroo rat) is the source of this 367-nucleotide long non-coding RNA. RefSeq lists it as uncharacterized. Lineage: Eukaryota; Metazoa; Chordata; Mammalia; Rodentia; Heteromyidae. The transcript has 3 exons. The record is from RefSeq and is a predicted model, not a curated record.
GGAAGGUCGAAGUUGGGGAUCCGCUGACCCCGGCACCUCUCCACAAAGCCAGCUCUGUAGCAGGGGUUGUCCCUGCAGCCUGUAGGAGAGAGUGCCACCCAGCGCUGGAGACCCCCCCUUCCAGGAGGACACUCCCCCUCCCUGCCUGUGCCAUCCGGGCACCUGCUAGACCCAGACUCGAAGUGACCCUCUUGCGCAGGGCUCCGGAGAGGUGCUGACAUUGAGCUCAUCCACACGGACCCCUUGAUUGUUCCAUGCCCUGCCCGCCCCCCUUUUCGGACUUAAAAUAUCCCCUUGGCCCCUUUGUUUACACAAUUGAAGUUGCAGUAUGCCUACAUUUUCCUCCAAGGACAAAAAAAAAUGUGAA